AUGGAUCCUAUAGAUAGAUUUUUCAUCUUUGUCAGAAAGUAUGUCAUUCAAAGAGCAGAGGAUCAGUUUGGGAUCCCAGGUGAUAUCCCAAUUCCUAUCUAAAGAAAAGGUCUUGGUUUGCACACCUGUUCUGAAACUGCCUCUCUGCCUUCGUCUUGGAAGCGGACGGCAAUCUGAGCUUGUCAAAGUUUGUGUUCUAAAGCCAGUCUCUGCAGUGGGAAAGAUGCUACACGGCACCUGCAGUGCACAUUACUCUCAAGCAAGCUCCAGUCAGAAUGGAUGUCAAGGUUCAAGCACGGCCAUGAGGCUAAAGAUAAUCCUGAUAAUAAGAGGCCAGGACACCAUUCAAGUCUCACCACCCAUUAUACAGCUUUCAAAACAAAGGAGUUUGAUAACGUGCUGAGUUCAUCAUCCAGCCAUGAAUUAAUUAAGAUGAGUAUACUUGCGACCAAGGUACCUGGAAGCAAAUUUUUCUUUUUUCUGAGGUGGGAGGCAAGGAUAUAACAUUGAUGCAAUCUGGCAACAAGAGAUGUGACUAAAAACAUCCACUGGACACCUCAUUAGUUCCAGACACUGUACUGGAGACCAGACUGUUGGAACAAUCCAAGUAGGAAAAUAUCGGUGUUGCUGCCCUCAAGGACCUGAGUAUCGUCGGGAAAUGAAUGAACCACUCAAAGACCUCUCCUGACAAAAAUAGAAGAGCUGGAACAGGUACUAUGACCUAGAGUAAAGCUGGGGAGAGAACUUUCUCAGGGUAGCUCACUCAGGAAUGCCCCAUCUUUAGGAACAUACACGGCACAAAGUAAGGAUUCUGCAUGAGAAAACUUCUUUUGAAUUUUGUCUUAAACAAUCAGUAAGACUUUGUCAUAUGGGGGGAAAAAAAGGAGUUACUCAGGGUAAAAAGCAGGAGUAAGUAGAGGAAUAGAAAUGGAACAUUUUGGGGCACCUGGGUGGCUCAGUUGGUUAAUUGUCUGAUUAAUCAUGACUCAGGUCAUGAUCUCAUGGUUUGUGGGUUCAAGCCCCAUGUCAGGCUCUGUGCUGACAGCU
This is a long non-coding RNA of Felis catus (domestic cat), 1047 nucleotides long. RefSeq lists it as uncharacterized. NCBI's taxonomy places the organism in Eukaryota, Metazoa, Chordata, Mammalia, Carnivora, Felidae. The record is from RefSeq and is a predicted model, not a curated record. The transcript has 3 exons.